Molecule: ribosomal RNA, 500 nt
Filed under: uncultured bacterium
Lineage: Bacteria
Description: partial 16S ribosomal RNA
Rfam family: Bacterial small subunit ribosomal RNA
Source: RNAcentral
AUUGAACGCUGGCGGCAUGCCUUACAAAUGAAAGUCGAACGGCAGCACGGGAGCAAUCCUGGUGGCGAGUGGCGAACGGGUGAGUAAUAUAUCGGAACGUGCGCAGACGUGGGGGAUAACGUAGCGAAAGCUACGCUAAUACCGCAUACGAUCCAGGGAUGAAAGCGGGGGAUCGCAAGAUGUCGCGCGGUAGGGGCGGUCGAUAUCAGAUUAGCUAGUUGGUGGGGUAAAAGCCCACCAAGGCGACGAUCUGUAGCUGGUCUGAGAGGACGACCAGCCACACUGGAACUGAGACACGGUCCAGACUCCUACGGGAGGCAGCAGUGGGGAAUUUUGGACAAUGGGCGAAAGCCUGAUCCAGCAAUGCCGCGUGCAGGACGAAGGCCUUCGGGUUGUAAACUGCUUUUGUACGGAGCGAAACGGUCCUCUCUAAUACAGGGGGCUAAUGACGGUACCGUAAGAAUAAGCACCGGCUAACUACGUGCCAGCAGCCGCCGUAA